GACGAACGCUGGCGGCGUGCUUAACACAUGCAAGUCGAACGGAAAGGCCCUGCUUUUGUGGGGUGCUCGAGUGGCGAACGGGUGAGUAACACGUGAGUAACCUGCCCUUGACUUUGGGAUAACUUCAGGAAACUGGGGCUAAUACCGGAUAGGAGCUCCUGCUGCAUGGGGGGGGUUGGAAAGUUUCGGCGGUUGGGGAUGGACUCGCGGCUUAUCAGCUUGUUGGUGGGGUAGUGGCUUACCACGGCUUUGACGGGUAGCCGGCCUGAGAGGUUGGCCGGCCACCUUGGGCCUGCGGUACGGCCCAGACUCCUACGGGAGGCAGCGGUGGGGAAUAUUGCACAAUGGGCGGAAGCCUGAUGCAGCAACGCCGCGUGCGGGAUGACGGCCUUCGGGUUGUGAACCGCUUUCGCCUGUGACGAAGCGUGAGUGACGGUAAUGGGUAAAGAAGCACCGGCUAACUACGUG
Molecule: ribosomal RNA, 468 nt
Filed under: uncultured bacterium
Lineage: Bacteria
Description: partial 16S ribosomal RNA
Rfam family: Bacterial small subunit ribosomal RNA
Source: RNAcentral